CCUACGGGUGGCUGCAGUGGGGAAUAUUGGACAAUGGGGGCAACCCUGAUCCAGCCAUGCCGCGUGUGUGAAGAAGGCCCUCGGGUUGUAAAGCACUUUCAGUGAGGAAGAACGCCUGGUGGUUAAUACCCAUCAGGAAAGACAUCACUCACAGAAGAAGCACCGGCUAACUCCGUGCCAGCAGCCGCGGUAAUACGGAGGGUGCGAGCGUUAAUCGGAAUUACUGGGCGUAAAGCGCGCGUAGGUGGCUUGAUAAGCCGGUUGUGAAAGCCCCGGGCUCAACCUGGGAACGGCAUCCGGAACUGUCAAGCUAGAGUGCAGGAGAGGAAGGUAGAAUUCCCGGUGUAGCGGUGAAAUGCGUAGAGAUCGGGAGGAAUACCAGUGGCGAAGGCGGCCUUCUGGACUGACACUGACACUGAGGUGCGAAAGCGUGAGUAGCAAACAGGAUUAGAUACCCGAGUAGUC
This 465-nucleotide ribosomal RNA is filed under the name Vreelandella stevensii. Its description in RNAcentral is "partial 16S ribosomal RNA". It matches the Rfam family "Bacterial small subunit ribosomal RNA", at positions 338 to 795 of the family's 1533-position model. Lineage: Bacteria; Pseudomonadati; Pseudomonadota; Gammaproteobacteria; Oceanospirillales; Halomonadaceae. The record is from RNAcentral.